GAUGAACGCUAGCGGAGGCUUAACACAUGCAAGUCGAGGGGCAGCAUAGGGUAGCAAUACUCUGAUGGCGACCGGCAAACGGGUGAGUAACGCGUAUGCAACCUACCCUGUACAGGGGAUAACCCGGAGAAAUUCGGACUAAUAUCCCGUAAUAAUAUCCGGAGGCAUCUUUGGAUAUUAAAGUUCCGACGGUACGGGAUGGGCAUGCGUAACAUUAGCUGGUUGGUAAGGUAACGGCUUACCAAGGCUAUGAUGUUUAGGGGUCCUGAGAGGGUGGUCCCCCACACUGGUACUGAGACACGGACCAGACUCCUACGGGAGGCAGCAGUGAGGAAUAUUGGUCAAUGGGCGCAAGCCUGAACCAGCCAUCCCGCGUGCAGGAAGACGGCCCUAUGGGUUGUAAACUGCUUUUCCAGGGAGAGAAACUUACGCACGUGUUGCGUGACUGACGGUACCCUGGGAAUAAGCAUCGGCUAACUCCGUG
Molecule: ribosomal RNA, 484 nt
Filed under: uncultured bacterium
Lineage: Bacteria
Description: bacterial SSU rRNA
Rfam family: Bacterial small subunit ribosomal RNA
Source: RNAcentral